This 889-nucleotide ribosomal RNA is filed under the name uncultured bacterium. RNAcentral's name for it is "bacterial SSU rRNA". It matches the Rfam family "Bacterial small subunit ribosomal RNA", at positions 505 to 1397 of the family's 1533-position model. The record is from RNAcentral.
GUGCCAGCCGCCGCGGUAAUACGGAAGAUGCGAGCGUUAUCCGGAUUUAUUGGGUUUAAAGGGAGCGUAGGCGGGCGCUUAAGCCUGCGGUAAAAUGUCGAUGCUCAACAUCGUCCUGCCGUGGGAACUGGGUGCCUUGAAUGUGCACAAGGUGGAUGGAAUUCGUGGUGUAGCGGUGAAAUGCUUAGAUAUCACGAAGAACUCCGAUUGCGAAGGCAGUCCACUGGGGCAUGAUUGACGCUGAGGCUCGAAAGUGCGGGUAUCAAACAGGAUUAGAUACCCUGGUAGUCCGCACAGUAAACGAUGAAUGCUCGUUAUGGGCGAUACACAGUCCGUGACCAAGCGAAAGCAUUAAGCAUUCCACCUGGGGAGUACGCCGGCAACGGUGAAACUCAAAGGAAUUGACGGGGGCCCGCACAAGCGGAGGAACAUGUGGUUUAAUUCGAUGAUACGCGAGGAACCUUACCCGGGCUUGAAUUGCACUGGACGGGUGCCAGAGACGGCUCCCUUCUUCGGACCAGUGUGAAGGUGCUGCAUGGUUGUCGUCAGCUCGUGCCGUGAGGUGUCGGCUUAAGUGCCAUAACGAGCGCAACCCUCGCCGGCAGUUGCCAUCAGGUGAAGCUGGGCACUCUGCCGGGACUGCCAUCGCAAGAUGCGAGGAAGGUGGGGAUGACGUCAAAUCAGCACGGCCCUUACGUCCGGGGCUACACACGUGUUACAAUGGGGGGCACAGAGGGCGGCUUGCGCGCGAGCGGUGGCGAAUCCUUUAAAUCCCCUCUCAGUUCGGAUCGGAGUCUGCAACCCGACUCCGUGAAGCUGGAUUCGCUAGUAAUCGCGCAUCAGCCAUGGCGCGGUGAAUACGUUCCCGGGCCUUGUACACACCGCCCGU